GCUGGGCGCGGUGGCUCACGCCUGUAAUCCCAGCACUUUGGGAGGCUGAGGCAGGUGGAUCACCUGAGGUCAGGAGUUCAAGACCAGCCUGGCCAACAUGGUGAAAUCCUGUCUCUA
This 117-nucleotide non-coding RNA is filed under the name Chlorocebus sabaeus (green monkey). The record is from Rfam by way of RNAcentral. Lineage: Eukaryota; Metazoa; Chordata; Mammalia; Primates; Cercopithecidae.